Molecule: ribosomal RNA, 253 nt
Filed under: uncultured bacterium
Lineage: Bacteria
Description: partial 16S ribosomal RNA
Rfam family: Bacterial small subunit ribosomal RNA
Source: RNAcentral
UACGUAGGGUGCAAGCGUUGUCCGGAAUUAUUGGGCGUAAAGAGCUCGUAGGCGGUUUGUCGCGUCUGCUGUGAAAACCCGAGGCUCAACCUCGGGCCUGCAGUGGGUACGGGCAGGCUAGAGUUCGGUAGGGGAGACUGGAAUUCCUGGUGUAGCGGUGAAAUGCGCAGAUAUCAGGAGGAACACCGAUGGCGAAGGCAGGUCUCUGGGCCGAUACUGACGCUGAGGAGCGAAAGCGUGGGGAGCGAACAGG